Long non-coding RNA from Suricata suricatta (meerkat), 1631 nucleotides. RefSeq lists it as uncharacterized. The record is from RefSeq and is a predicted model, not a curated record. Lineage: Eukaryota; Metazoa; Chordata; Mammalia; Carnivora; Herpestidae. The transcript is spliced from 2 exons.
UCCGCCAGGGUCUGCAGCGCGCGCGGGUAGUCGAUCCGCUGCGCGGACGCGGGUUCCGGGGCCUGGCGGCCGCGCGCCACCUCCUCCUCCAGGGCGGCCGCAUGCUCGCGCAGCCGCACGUGCUUCCACAGCACCGCCGCCAGCACCGACACCAGCAGCGCGUUGAACACCGCCGACAGGUGCAUCCUAGUGCCACCGCGGGGCGCUAGUGAGAGGACGGCCCCGGGGAAGUGCCAUGGCCCGGACGGGCUUGACCCGUCUCCACAGGCACCCCGAGGAUCGGCAAAAGCCUGCGGGAGAGGAGAACAGAAAGGUGUUUGUCUGGAGUACCUUCAAGCUUCCGCUGUGUGUCAGGUACUGUGCCUGCACUUUGUGCGCGCGCUGAGCAGGAGAGGGGCAGAGGAGGAGAGAGAGAGCAGGCUCCAAGUUCAAUGUGGAACCCUACACGGGGCUGGAUUCCACGACCCUGAGAUCAUGACCUGAGCCAAAAAUCAAGAGUUGGAUGCUUCACCAGAUGAUCCCCCUGGGCGCCCCAGCCGUGGAUUCUUGAACCAUCUUGCACAUUCGAAGGUAUGGUAGAGUAGACUGCUGUUCAAAAUACUCACUCCCUCCCCUCCAGUCUGCUUCCACAUGGGGGAGUAUAUAUCCCUGUACCUUGACUUUGGGCUUGACCACAUAACUUGCUUUGGCCAAUGAAAUGUUAGCAGAGAAAGCAUAAUCAGAGCUUUGGGAAAAGCUUGUGUGGCUGGCCUUGCCCGCUCUAUGCCUAUGACACUGCCCUGAGAAGAAUCUGUUCGGCCUGAUUUCCUGGUCCCAGGAGGAGCGACGUGUGUGCAGAGCAGCGCUGCUCCAGCUGAGCCCCAGGUGGCUCACCUGACCCCCAGGUUUGUGAGCAGACCCAGCCAUCAGAACCACUAGUCAACAGAGAGGCAUCUGAGCUGGGUAAGUGCUUAUUAUUGUAGGUCACGGAAAUCCUGUGGCCGUUUAUUGUGCGGCACGGCUGUAGCCAGAGCUAACCAACAGAGGACCCGGGACGAGAGGCUGCAGGGAAAGUUCCCUUGAGGGGCCUGGCAUUCCUGGACUUUUCCUUACAUGGGGCUGAAGGCUUGUGAGUAUCGCUGCCAGCUGUCCGCCAGGACCCCAGUGUGCCCCUUCUUAAGACACAUGGCACAUAUGCCUGGGGCAUAUGGGGGGACGUCUGCUCUUGCUUGAAGCUCCUGUUUGGAAAUCAUGCCUUUUGAUUCCCAUGAAAGGAUGGGUAGCUAGUUGCCCCCUCUCUGGUUCAGUAAAAGAACUGUGUCUGCAGGUCACCACUGAUACACACACCUGCAGAGAGGCCUGGCUGGGCUGCAGGCAUCUGCUCCGCUCUUCUGCACUACGAGGAAGGGUAACACAUUUGCUGUGAAGCCCAGGAUGGCUCACACCUGACGGAUGUCACCCUCAGCCCUCACCGGAGGAGCACAGUCAUUUGAAACAAAGGAUUUUAAAUCUAAGAAGAGGGUUCCUCCCAAAGAUGGGGUCUGAGAUUGGACAUGCUGUCGUCUGUUGGCAUCUUGGGCCAGAGUCCGUCAUCAGCUUUCUGCCUGGAUUUCCAAGUCAAGUGCAUUAAUAAAGGACAAGCAUAAACCUGG